This 1522-nucleotide ribosomal RNA is filed under the name uncultured bacterium. Its description in RNAcentral is "bacterial SSU rRNA". It matches the Rfam family "Bacterial small subunit ribosomal RNA". The record is from RNAcentral.
UACGCCAGCUUGCAUGCCUGCAGGUCGACGAUUAGAGUUUGAUCCUGGCUCAGGAUGAACGCUAGCGGCAGGCUUAACACAUGCAAGUCGAGGGGCAGCAUUAAUUCAGUUUACUAUAUUAGAUGGCGACUGGCGGACGGGUGCGUAACGCGUAUGCAACCUACCAAUAACAGGGGGAUAAUCCGGAGAAAUUUGGUCUAAUACCCCGUAAUAUAUUAGAAGGCAUCUUUUGAUAUUGAAAGAAUUUUGGUUAUUGAUGGGCAUGCGUGACAUUAGUUAGAUGGUGAGGUAACGGCUCACCAUGACUACGAUGUCUAGGGGAACUGAGAGGUUAACCCCCCACACUGGUACUGAGACACGGACCAGACUCCUACGGGAGGCAGCAGUGAGGAAUAUUGGUCAAUGGAGGCAACUCUGAACCAGCCAUGCCGCGUGCAGGAUGACGUCUCUAUGAGUUGUAAACUGCUUUUGUAGAGGGGUAAAAUUAGGCACGUGUGCUUAACUGCAAGUACUCUACGAAUAAGGAUCGGCUAACUCCGUGCCAGCAGCCGCGGUAAUACGGAGGAUCCAAGCGUUAUCCGGAUUUAUUGGGUUUAAAGGGUGCGUAGGUGGCUUUAUAAGUCGGUGGUGAAAACACAAUGCUCAACAUUGUGCCUGCCAUCGAAACUGUAAGGCUAGAGAAUGGACGCAGAUGGCGGAAUGUGUAGUGUAGCGGUGAAAUGCUUAGAUAUUACACAGAACACCGAUUGCGAAGGCAGCUGUCUAGGCCAUAUCUGACGCUGAUGCACGAAAGCGUGGGGAUCAAACAGGAUUAGAUACCCUGGUAGUCCACGCAGUAAACGAUGGUAACUCGUUGUAGGCGAUACACAGUCUGUAACCAAGCGAAAGCGAUAAGUUAUCCACCUGGGGAGUACGUUCGCAAGAAUGAAACUCAAAGGAAUUGACGGGGGCCCGCACAAGCGGAGGAACAUGUGGUUUAAUUCGAUGAUACGCGAGGAACCUUACCCGGGCUUGAAAGUUAGCGAUGGAUUUGGAAACAGAUCUUCCCUUCGGGGCGCGAAACUAGGUGCUGCAUGGUUGUCGUCAGCUCGUGCCGUGAGGUGUCGGGUUAAGUCCCAUAACGAGCGCAACCCCUAUCGAUAGUUGCCAGCGAGUAGUGUCGGGGACUCUAUCGAGACUGCCGGUGUAAACCGCGAGGAAGGUGGGGAUGACGUCAAAUCAGCACGGCCCUUACGUCCGGGGCGACACACGUGUUACAAUGGUCGGUACAGAGGGUAGCUACCUGGUGACAGGAUGCCAAUCUCUAAAGCCGAUCUCAGUUCGGAUUGGAGGCUGAAACUCGCCUCCAUGAAGUUGGAUUCGCUAGUAAUCGCACAUCAGCCAUGGUGCGGUGAAUACGUUCCCGGGCCUUGUACACACCGCCCGUCAAGCCACGGAAGUUGGGGGUGCCUGAAGUACGUGACCGCAAGGAGCGUCCUAGGGCAAAACCGAUAACUGGGGCUAAGUCGUAACAAGGCCGUAA